AUUGAACGCUGGCGGCAGGCUUAACACAUGCAAGUCGAGCGGGGUGAUGGUGCUUGCACUAUCACUUAGCGGCGGACGGGUGAGUAAUGCUUAGGAAUCUGCCUAUUAGUGGGGGACAACAUCUCGAAAGGGAUGCUAAUACCGCAUACGUCCUACGGAGAAAGCAGGGGAUCACUUGUGACCUUGCGCUAAUAGAUGAGCCUAAGUCGGAUUAGCUAGUUGGUGGGGUAAAGGCCUACCAAGGCGACGAUCUGUAGCGGGUCUGAGAGGAUGAUCCGCCACACUGGGACUGAUACACGGCCCAGACUCCUACGGGAGGCAGCAGUGGGGAAUAUUGGACAAUGGGGGGAACCCUGAUCCAGCCAUGCCGCGUGUGUGAAGAAGGCCUUAUGGUUGUAAAGCACUUUAAGCGAGGAGGAGGCUCUUUUGGUUAAUACCCAAGAUGAGUGGACGUUACUCACAGAAUAAGCACCGGCUAACUCUGUGCCAGCCGCCGCGGUAA
RNAcentral lists this ribosomal RNA (502 nucleotides) under uncultured bacterium. Its description in RNAcentral is "partial 16S ribosomal RNA". It matches the Rfam family "Bacterial small subunit ribosomal RNA", at positions 30 to 523 of the family's 1533-position model. The record is from RNAcentral.